RNAcentral lists this long non-coding RNA (607 nucleotides) under Mytilus galloprovincialis (Mediterranean mussel). The record is from RNAcentral. Lineage: Eukaryota; Metazoa; Mollusca; Bivalvia; Mytilida; Mytilidae.
AAAAAGUAAAAACUUUUAAUAUUUCCUGUAAAGAAAUAUUGUAUCGUAUAGCAUAGAUUUGCUAGAUAAAGUCAUUAAAAACCUUUUCAUUUGACAACGUAUGCUUUACAAAAUUUUUUAAAUAACCCGUCCGACUCGUUUUGUCGUUGCUGCAAACCAGCCAUAGCGGUAAUGGGUUCAUGACUUCUGACAGUGUCCGUGAAAAAUAAACUCCACAUGAUUUUUAACCCCAUAACAAUUACCAACAGUAGCAAGAAAACUACAUGGGGACCUUCAUGAUAGCUAUUGGUCAUUCUCGACUAAGGGAAAGGGAGGGGCAUGAGGGCUUGGCCUUUGAAGAGUUACAAACGGCAAUUAUUGAAAAUACAUGUAUACAUACUUCUAUUAUAUAGUAUUUAUAAUGAAAAUUCAAAUAAAUAUAAUUUAAAUAAGCAAUGAAUUAGCAUGUUCACCUACAUGUCUCCUUAUGUGGAGGGAUGAAAUACUUUCGAUCGCGCUACAAUGUACAGCAUAGAUACGGUUUAUGAUGGUGAAAGUUCCUCCAUCGUUCAAUUUUCAUCCAUUGAGAUCCCUGCUAUGAAUUGAAUUUGUGUUCAGGAAGCCAAGC